RNAcentral lists this non-coding RNA (95 nucleotides) under Veillonella magna. RNAcentral's name for it is "SAM riboswitch (S box leader)". It matches the Rfam family "SAM riboswitch aptamer (S box leader)". Rfam says of the family: The SAM riboswitch is found upstream of a number of genes which code for proteins involved in methionine or cysteine biosynthesis in Gram-positive bacteria. The SAM riboswitch acts at the level of transcription termination control. The predicted structure consists of a complex stem-loop region followed by a single stem loop terminator region. Lineage: Bacteria; Bacillati; Bacillota; Negativicutes; Veillonellales; Veillonellaceae. The record is from RNAcentral.
CUCAUCAAGAGUAGUGGAGGGAAAGGCCCAAUGAAGCUACAGCAACCAUUCUGUGAAGAAAAGGUGCUAAUUCCGACGGUAACAGCCGAAAGAUG